RNAcentral lists this ribosomal RNA (764 nucleotides) under Neogloboquadrina dutertrei. Its description in RNAcentral is "bacterial SSU rRNA". The stretch from base 1 to 473 matches the Rfam family "Eukaryotic small subunit ribosomal RNA", at positions 1211 to 1501 of the family's 1831-position model. Lineage: Eukaryota; Foraminifera; Rotaliida; Globorotaliidae. The record is from RNAcentral.
AAUCUUACCGGGUCCGGACACACUGAGGAUUGACAGGCAAUAUCUAAAUCGUUUAUAAUUCUAAAUUAUAAUACGUAUUUAGUGUUAAAUAUGCUAGUCCUUUCAUGAUUAUGUGAUAGGUGGUGCAUGGCCGUUCUUAGUUCGUGGAGUGAUCUGUCUGCUUAAUUGCGUUUCACUAAGGGCCCAUAAAUUCAAGGUAUGUUAGCUAUCGUUUCUCAAUUGACCCCUUGUCUUCGAUAAGCGCGUGUCUUUUAGAGUUUAAACAUUGCGCAUGCUGUUGGGUCCUGAAAGCAACGAACGUGACCGCAACGUCUUAUUGCCUUUAUCUUGCUAUAUUUUAAUUUAAUUAAAAAUAGCUAACAGAGGCUAAUUUAAAAUUAGACGGACCGCUGUACUUUUCUUAAACCAGAGGAAGGUUGCGGCAAUAACAGGUCUGUGAUGCCCUUAGAUGUUCCGGGCUGCACACGUGCUACAAUGAUCAGUACAGUGAGCAUCUCAAUAUUAUACACCGUAUUAAGCGCUUAGUUGCGAUUAUUGGCUCAUUAUUGGGUCUUUUAAUUGUAUUUCUAAUGCGCGCGGUAAAGCCUGCUUCGAGAGUAAGUGGGUAAUCCAUUGGAAGUAAUGAUUUCUCUUUUUAUAGCACACCUAUAUACGGCAUUCAUUCCCGGGACGACUAGUUUCGUCUUUUUUGUGCGAAUGUAAUGUAUUCUUUAUCCGAUGUGCGAUUGUCAAUUCAUGGGGGGACAGACCAUUGUUAAUUGUGG